AGGUGGAAGGCUACAUCGUCACAACAUGUCUGACAUCCGUUCGAAACGCCAUUUUGUUCCGGAUUGAUAAUAUUUUGUCGUGGUACAAAAUAGCUAUACACCGUUAAAUUGAACUCUUCUAACACGGGAGGUGAUAUAGGAAUAAAGUCACAAAAACGCUUAUAAGUAUGUCAAUUUUCUUCCUGUUUAAAGCUUUCAACUAACAUUGAUUAUCAGCUGUUUUGUACGGAAAACGUGGAAUUUAAAUAAUUUACUGUUUCACCGCUAUUGGCAAUACAUUUUGGUCAUGUCAUCUGCAACAGACGAUCAUACAUUUAUGACGAAUUAUCGAUAUAGAUAACGCUAGGACCAUGUAGCAAUAGCAGUGGAAGCCCGUAUUUGCAAGCCAGUUGAGGGAAGGACAGAAUUCUGAAAAGGAGCAUGUUUUUCAUUUCCACACGUACAUGUGUAUCACUAUGGACAUCUAAUAUUUUUGUGGGAUUUUGUCCAGCAGUUUGCCUUAAAAGAAUUUGUUUAUAUUUAAGUUUCAUAUUUAUGUGGAUUCCAAUAAAAAUCAUACAAACUUCA
Molecule: long non-coding RNA, 567 nt
Organism: Magallana angulata
Lineage: Eukaryota; Metazoa; Mollusca; Bivalvia; Ostreida; Ostreidae
Exons: 3
Source: RefSeq, a predicted model, not a curated record